UCUUCGUUAGUACAGGGGUUAGUAUAUCCGCUUUUCAAGAACAGUUGGUUUUGAUUUGUCGCGGACGACCCGGGUUCGAAUCCCGGACGGAGAA
Non-coding RNA from Cryptococcus amylolentus CBS 6039, 94 nucleotides. The record is from the annotation of a RefSeq genome assembly. Lineage: Eukaryota; Fungi; Basidiomycota; Tremellomycetes; Tremellales; Cryptococcaceae.